CUCAGAGAAAGUAAAUUCUGGUAUGAACCAGCCCUUUUGAAUCACUCCAGAAAGCACAGAUGAUGCUGGUCCCAUGAAAUCAGAGUGCUGAAUCAGGACAGUGCAGGGCUCCCAGUGCAGAACAAAGACCUGCACAGGUUCUGCAGCCCCUGGAACAUCCUGAGCACUGGAAAAUCUCUCUUCUCCAUGGAGCUUCCCAUCCCAAUGCCUCUGGAAACUGGAGUCAGGUUUCCCAGCACCUUCACAGACAGGAGUGAGCUCAGUUGGGUAUUCUGAAUAAGGACCACCAAAUUCUCUGCCUUCGUGGCCCUCAUCUUCCCAAGGAAGAGCCACAAGGAGCCAGGAAUGAGGAUGUGCCCAGGUGACACUGAGUGGUUCUGCUUGAGAGGAAGGAACAAAGAACUGGAAUAAUCUGCCAGGCCAGGGAGUGAGCUGGGAUGGCCCUUGAGGUGUUGUGAGGUCCUCAGGAUGAGGUUCCCUGCAAAUUCCACAUGCAUUCCUCUCUCCAAGUGGUGCCUGCAGCACAAGUCCAGCAAAUCCAGGCUGCUGCUUCCAUCUGCUGCCCGAAGUGUUCAUUGCAAGCCUCUCCCUGUCUGGGAGGCAGCAGCAGCAGCUUGAAACAACCUUCAGAGAUGUUCUGCACAAAGGAGAACUUAAACAGAAGUUACACUAUGGAUGCGAUGCCUCAGGUUUCAGCUUUUCUAUUUUUCAGGUUCUGUGAUGCCUUGGGAAUAGCAAACAGAACUUUGAGAAUGAAAUCAAGAUUGCAAGAAGAUCAAAUCAGAUUCACCAGAAAAAGAAAAUGGCAUCAGACUUCUGCAAGCAAGAGAUGUUUACAAUGGAUAAGUUGGUUUAUGUGAUUAUUGACCAAAUUAGUGUAGUAGAACAUUACUAGCCUCCCUAAAAUAGUAUAUAAGUGUUUGUAUCCCACAAUAAAAUUGGAUUCUGAUAAUCAAA
This is a long non-coding RNA of Zonotrichia leucophrys gambelii, 957 nucleotides long. RefSeq lists it as uncharacterized. The transcript has 4 exons. Lineage: Eukaryota; Metazoa; Chordata; Aves; Passeriformes; Passerellidae. The record is from RefSeq and is a predicted model, not a curated record.